RNAcentral lists this unclassified non-coding RNA (205 nucleotides) under Hevea brasiliensis (rubber tree). The record is from RNAcentral. Lineage: Eukaryota; Viridiplantae; Streptophyta; Magnoliopsida; Malpighiales; Euphorbiaceae.
AUUUUUCCUCAGUCAUACAGCAAUAUAAAAUGCAUAUCUGAACAAAUGCUUGAGCACAUAACAUCUGAAACCCAAAUCUUGUGCCUGGAGGAAGGAAGGAAACAAAAUCUCUUCUCAUCGCCCUCCUCUUCCAGCUUUGCUGUAUAGCCUGUACAUAACGUGCAAUUGCAAGCUAUUGAGCACCUGGUGCAUCUCUCAUGCUCAU